GGGGAGGAGCCCAGAGCCUGAAUCAGCAUGUGUGUUAGUGGAAGCGUCUGGAAAGGCGCGCGAUACAGGGUGACAGCCCCGUACACACAAGCGCAUGUGCUGUGAGCUCGAUGAGUAGGGCGGGACACGUGGUAUCCUGUCUGAAUAUGGGGGGACCAUCCUCCAAGGCUAAAUACUCCUGACUGACCGAUAGUGAACCAGUACCGUGAGGGAAAGGCGAAAAGAACCCCGGCGAGGGGAGUGAAAAAGAACCUGACACCGUGUACGUACAAGCAGUGGGAGCACAGGUUUACCUGUGUGACUGCGUACCUUUUGUAUAAUGGGUCAGCGACUUAUAUUCUGUAGCAAGGU
RNAcentral lists this ribosomal RNA (351 nucleotides) under Salmonella enterica subsp. enterica serovar 1,4,[5],12:i:-. RNAcentral describes it as "partial 23S ribosomal RNA". It matches the Rfam family "Bacterial large subunit ribosomal RNA", at positions 289 to 646 of the family's 2925-position model. Lineage: Bacteria; Pseudomonadati; Pseudomonadota; Gammaproteobacteria; Enterobacterales; Enterobacteriaceae. The record is from RNAcentral.